GACGAACGCUGGCGGAAUGCUUUACACAUGCAAGUCGAGCGGCAGCGCGGGGCAACCUGGCGGCGAGCGGCGAACGGGUGAGUAAUGCAUCGGAACAUGUCCAUGUCGUGGGGGAUAGCCCGGCGAAAGCCGGAUUAAUACCGCAUAAGCCCGGGAGGGGAAAGCCGGGGACCGCAAGGCCUGGCGCGAUUGGGUUGGCCGAUGUCCGAUUAGCUAGUUGGCGGGGUAAUGGCCCACCAAGGCGAUGAUCGGUAGCUGGUCUGAGAGGAUGAUCAGCCACACUGGGACUGAGACACGGCCCAGACUCCUACGGGAGGCAGCAGUGGGGAAUUUUGGACAAUGGGGGAAACCCUGAUCCAGCCAUUCCGCGUGAGUGAAGAAGGCCUGGUUGUAA
Molecule: ribosomal RNA, 394 nt
Filed under: uncultured bacterium
Lineage: Bacteria
Description: bacterial SSU rRNA
Rfam family: Bacterial small subunit ribosomal RNA
Source: RNAcentral